This 423-nucleotide ribosomal RNA is filed under the name uncultured bacterium. RNAcentral's name for it is "bacterial SSU rRNA". It matches the Rfam family "Bacterial small subunit ribosomal RNA", at positions 355 to 776 of the family's 1533-position model. The record is from RNAcentral.
UGAGGAAUAUUGGUCAAUGGGCGGGAGCCUGAACCAGCCAAGUCGCGUGAGGGAAGACGGUCCUACGGAUUGUAAACCUCUUUUGCCAGGGGACAAAGGCGGGGACUAGUCCCCGGAUGAGGGUACCUGAAGAAAAAGCAUCGGCUAACUCCGUGCCAGCAGCCGCGGUAAUACGGAGGAUGCGAGCGUUAUCCGGAUUUAUUGGGUUUAAAGGGUGCGUAGGCGGAAUGCCAAGUCAGCAGUAAAAUCGCGGGGCUCAACCUCGCUCCGCCGUUGAAACUGGCGUUCUUGAGUGGGCGAGAAGUAUGCGGAAUGCGUGGUGUAGCGGUGAAAUGCUUAGAUAUCACGAAGAACUCCGAUUGCGAAGGCAGCUCACUAGACUGCAACUGACACUGAUGCUCGAAAGUGUGGGUAUCAAACAGG